CGGCUGCAGUGGGGAAUUUUGGACAAUGGGGGCAACCCUGAUCCAGCCAUGCCGCGUGAGUGAAGAAGGCCUUCGGGUUGUAAAGCUCUUUCAGAUGGGAAGAAACGGACAUGGUUAAUAACUGUGUCUAAUGACGGUACCGUCAGAAGAAGCACCGGCUAACUACGUGCCAGCAGCCGCGGUAAUACGUAGGGUGCGAGCGUUAAUCGGAAUUACUGGGCGUAAAGCGUGCGCAGGCGGUUUUGUAAGACAGAUGUGAAAUCCCCGGGCUCAACCUGGGAACUGCAUUUGUGACUGCAAGGCUAGAGUACGGCAGAGGGGGGUAGAAUUCCACGUGUAGCAGUGAAAUGCGUAGAUAUGUGGAGGAAUACCGAUGGCGAAGGCAGCCCCCUGGGUCGAUACUGACGCUCAUGCACGAAAGCGUGGGGAGCAAACAGGAUUAGAUACCCCAGUAGUC
RNAcentral lists this ribosomal RNA (457 nucleotides) under uncultured Gallionellaceae bacterium. RNAcentral describes it as "bacterial SSU rRNA". It matches the Rfam family "Bacterial small subunit ribosomal RNA", at positions 346 to 795 of the family's 1533-position model. The record is from RNAcentral. Lineage: Bacteria; Pseudomonadati; Pseudomonadota; Betaproteobacteria; Nitrosomonadales; Gallionellaceae.